RNAcentral lists this unclassified non-coding RNA (258 nucleotides) under uncultured fungus. RNAcentral describes it as "partial contains 18S rRNA, ITS1, 5.8S rRNA". The record is from RNAcentral. Lineage: Eukaryota; Fungi.
GCAGAAGGAUCAUUAGUGAAGAUUUGGGCAGGCCAUACGGACGCCAAAAAGUGUCCCUGGCCGCCUACACCCACUAUACAUCCACAAACCCGUGUGCACUGUCUUGGAGAAAGGCUUCAGAGAAGGUUUUUGUGGCCUCUCUUGGGGUCUUUCUUCGCUACAAACUCGAAUGGUUAGUAUGAACGUGGAACUUGGUUGGACCGUCACUGGCCAACAAACUAUACACAACUUUCGACAACGGAUCUCUUGGUUCUCCCA